RNAcentral lists this ribosomal RNA (95 nucleotides) under Neptunomonas marina. Lineage: Bacteria; Pseudomonadati; Pseudomonadota; Gammaproteobacteria; Oceanospirillales; Oceanospirillaceae. The record is from RNAcentral.
GACCCACCUGAUCCCAUCCCGAACUCAGAAGUGAAACGAUUUAGCGCCGAUGGUAGUGUGGGGUUUCCCCAUGUGAGAGUAGGACAUCGCCAAGC